UCAAAAACCUAUACGCCGCAAACAACUAACAAGCGAACAGAGAUCAUCAAACAACAUCAGCGCAGGAAGCAGCUCCGCCUGGAGUUGGACCGCCUCCGCCCUCGCCUUCCGACUGCUCCGCCUCCGCCUCCGGCUGCCGAAACUUUGUUUUUCUUAUCCAUUUAUCAUCAUCUCAAUUAAGGCAUUAUCAGUUAUGCAGAAGAAUAUUUCAAGUUUUUUUCAAAGGCAACCACCACCUAACAUUGAAUCGUCAUCUUCAACUAGUAAACCCUUGAAAAUCGUUUUGGAUACAUGAACGAUUCUUGCAUUUGUUACAUUGAAAAGGAGUUCUUACAACAAGUUUCCGUUGAGAGUGUAAUGCAACGUUUUCAAAGAUGAAAACUCGUCGUCAACAACUUUAGGUAGUUUUUUUUAUUUGUAAGACGAUCGUAUUUUAUAUUGUGUUUUUAAAUUUCUAAUGACAAUUUUCUUUUCAUCAUUGUAUCAUACUUUUAUUAUGUGAUGAACCUUACCCGGUCCGAACUAUCGAACCGACCCGAAAUUCUUUAUGUUAA
Helianthus annuus (common sunflower) is the source of this 554-nucleotide long non-coding RNA. RefSeq lists it as uncharacterized. NCBI's taxonomy places the organism in Eukaryota, Viridiplantae, Streptophyta, Magnoliopsida, Asterales, Asteraceae. The transcript has 2 exons. The record is from RefSeq and is a predicted model, not a curated record.